CCUACGGGUGGCAGCAGUAGGGAAUAUUGCUCAAUGGGGGAAACCCUGAAGCAGCAACGCCGCGUGGAGGAUGAAGGCUUUCGGAUUGUAAACUUCUUUUGUUAGAGAAGAUAAUGACGGUAUCUAACGAAUAAGCACCGGCUAAUUCCGUGCCAGCAGCCGCGGUAAUACGGAGGGUGCAAGCGUUACUCGGAAUCACUGGGCGUAAAGAGCGCGUAGGCGGGAUAGCAAGUCAGAUGUGAAAUCCUAUGGCUUAACCAUAGAACUGCAUUUGAAACUGUUAUUCUAGAGUAUGGGAGAGGUAGGUGGAAUUCUUGGUGUAGGGGUAAAAUGCGUAGAGAUCAAGAGGAAUACUGAUUGCGAAGGCGGCCUGCUAGAACAUAACUGACGCUGAUGCGCGAAAGCGUGGGGAGCAAACAGGAUUAGAUACCCUUGUAGUC
This 440-nucleotide ribosomal RNA is filed under the name uncultured bacterium. Its description in RNAcentral is "partial 16S ribosomal RNA". It matches the Rfam family "Bacterial small subunit ribosomal RNA", at positions 338 to 795 of the family's 1533-position model. The record is from RNAcentral.